This 469-nucleotide long non-coding RNA is filed under the name Carica papaya (papaya). RNAcentral describes it as "long non-coding RNA (CPAP_LNC011198)". The record is from RNAcentral. Lineage: Eukaryota; Viridiplantae; Streptophyta; Magnoliopsida; Brassicales; Caricaceae.
AUUUCCGACCGCCGAUCGAGGUAAAUUUCAUACCCCCGACUCGUUUUUCCACGCUGAUUCCUCCUAUGGCCAAAUCGAAGCCAAAAUCCUGGCCAAACGGCCGGAAUACGCGGCCGAAGACCAGCGGCGCCGCCGCGCCCCCUCUCGGUUUUUGCCUCCGACGAGGCCCUUCCCGGCCUCCGUUUGAUGCAAUUUUUAUAUCAACGUGAUCACCAUUCUUUUCUCUACAGGUUGACCGGAGCCGAAUCACCAAAACACGAACCUCACCGGAGAGCCGCCGCACCCGAGAGCGCCGCCGCCGGUAAGCUCCGUUUUUCCGUGAUUUUUUUGGCCCCCCGAGGGCCCUAGGGUUGUUUUCUCACAGGGACCGAUGCGAGUGUGGCCGAAUUCGGCCGAAAACGGCCGAAAACAGCCAACCCGAGGCUACUCGCCGCCGUGCCGGAGUUGCGAUUUGGGCCGAAAGAGGCCC